This 1728-nucleotide long non-coding RNA is filed under the name Strigops habroptila (Kakapo). RNAcentral's name for it is "lncRNA (ENSSHBG00005015211.1)". The record is from RNAcentral. Lineage: Eukaryota; Metazoa; Chordata; Aves; Psittaciformes; Psittacidae.
UUUUUUUAAUUAUAUUUUUAUCCAGGGAGUGACUUGUUCACACGGUGACUCGGUGCCUCUUCCCCUCCGCUUUCUUUUCGGGUACAGCUCCCGCCGGCAGUCCCCGUGGCGAGUGGCCAUCCAUGCAGAGCCGCGAGGCACCGCGCUGCGGAGCAGCACCGUGAGCGGUGUGCGGCCGCCGAGCCCACGCGUGGCCGGAGCAGCAUUUUAUCUAUCUCCCAGCAAAGCAGAUGGAGGUAGGGAUGGCGAAGCAUUGCUCCGCACCGGCGCUCUCAGUGCCGGUGGUGAUGACCGGGGCGGUCGCGCAGCAUCUCCUUCCUCCUCCCGGCCGGAGAUCUCCCCCGCGGGCCCUGCGCGGCGGGGAGGGGAAAGCGCAGCUUCCCCGCUCCGGGUUUUAUGGACGAGCAUCAGCACAGCCCCCCCGGUACCGCCGAUUCCCGCAGCCAGGCACCGGGCUGGAGGCCCGCACAGCACCCCCGCCGCACUUAGCCCCCCGACCCGCCGCUCCCGAGCAGCAUGCGCAAGGCAGCCCCCCCACCCUGCAACCUACCUGAGGGAGAGGCCAAAAACUUUGCUGGCAUCAGCCAGCGCCGGCACAGGAGACCCCCCGGGCAAUCUGCGCUCUUUUCCCCCACUCCCGAACUCGCUGCCCGUACAAGCCAGGAGGUGUCCCCAGUCCCCGCCGCCCCUGGGCUUUCCGCAUCUCAGGUCCCACCCGGGAGAAGCCGACCUUGCCGCGACUGUCCUGAGAAUUAAGGGACCCCGGGCUGACGGCUGAGCUCUCUGCCCGAAGCAAGCCCCUUUUUCUCCCCAGCCCUGCGGUGCUGUCUCUAAUUGGGCCGGGGCGAGAGGAGGCUCGCAGAAUUGGGCAGGAGGCAGGGCUCUGCCAAGCACGGCUGCUUUAAUUGGCUCCCUUUUUCUUUUUUUUAACUGAAGAGGGAUGAAAUGGUGAAGAGGGGAGGGGAAAACCUGGAAAGGCAAAGGGGAGGAAAUCACGGCGCGCCCGGCAGAGCGACAGGCAGGGACGGUGAGGCAGCCGUGGGCCCGCCCGGCCGGUGGGGCAGUAGCGAAGCCGUGCGGGGGCCGGCGGAGCGGAGCGCCCCCGGGCUGGCCGGGGAGCGGUGACGCGCCAGGCAACUUUUACAGGAGACUUUGGUGCUUCGGGGAAAGGCAGUGGGGCAGGGACCUGCCAAGCGGUUUCCAGCCAGCGUCUGGCAGGAGUAACCUAACUUUCUGUAGCUUCUUGUCCCUCCUCGGCGGCCCCUCCCAGCUGCGGCCCCUGUUAGUUCCCACCGGGAGCUCCGGCAGCCGCGUCGACGCGCGGACCCCUCCAGAGUCACAAAUCAUCUGCGAGGCGGGAGGAGCAGGCAAGCAGCGGAGGCGAAGCACCCACCCGAAACCGGCACACAACAUAAGAGAAAGUUUUGAAGGGAGAAGGACCUGUCAGGCUGGGGAGGAGGCGAAGAGAGCCGGGCUGAGCCGCAGGCGGAGCGAGGGUGCGUGCUCUGGCUGCUCCUCGCUUGCUUCUCCCUUCAGGCUGGCUGGGGCGAUGCAGUGCAGCUGGGGGAGCUCUUGGGAGCCGAUCUAAAAGGAAAAAAAAAACCUUCUUGGAUUUGAUUAAUUACAACAAUCCCCUCCCCAGAAGAUCAGGAAAAGAGGAGAGAGCAUCACCUAUCCCUCCCUCCGCCUUUCAGCAACUGGGUCCUACCCCCACCCUUCCUUCCCCCC